RNAcentral lists this ribosomal RNA (427 nucleotides) under uncultured bacterium. Its description in RNAcentral is "partial 16S ribosomal RNA". It matches the Rfam family "Bacterial small subunit ribosomal RNA", at positions 355 to 774 of the family's 1533-position model. The record is from RNAcentral.
UGGGGAAUAUUGCACAAUGGGCGCAAGCCUGAUGCAGCCAUGCCGCGUGUAUGAAGAAGGCCUUCGGGUUGUAAAGUACUUUCAGCGGGGAGGAAGGCGAUAAGGUUAAUAACCUUAUCGAUUGACGUUACUCGCAGAAGAAGCACCGGCUAACUCCGUGCCAGCAGCCGCGGUAAUACGGAGGGUGCAAGCGUUAAUCGGAAUUACUGGGCGUAAAGCGCACGCAGGCGGUCUGUCAAGUCGGAUGUGAAAUCCCCGGGCUCAACCUGGGAACUGCAUUCGAAACUGGCAGGCUAGAGUCUUGUAGAGGGGGGUAGAAUUCCAGGUGUAGCGGUGAAAUGCGUAGAGAUCUGGAGGAAUACCGGUGGCGAAGGCGGCCCCCUGGACAAAGACUGACGCUCAGGUGCGAAAGCGUGGGGAGCAAACA